RNAcentral lists this small RNA (28 nucleotides) under Bombyx mori (domestic silkworm). RNAcentral describes it as "ovarian small RNA-34210". The record is from RNAcentral. Lineage: Eukaryota; Metazoa; Arthropoda; Insecta; Lepidoptera; Bombycidae.
UGCUGAGAGGGCCCUUUGGUCGCUCGGC